Long non-coding RNA from Suricata suricatta (meerkat), 2289 nucleotides. NCBI's taxonomy places the organism in Eukaryota, Metazoa, Chordata, Mammalia, Carnivora, Herpestidae. The record is from Ensembl.
UCCGUUUAUUGUCUCAUGUAUAGAUCCAAUUAAAAAUAAUUAACAUUUAUUUUUGAGAGAGAGAGAGAGAGAGAGAGAGAGAGAGAGAGAGACAGAGCAGGGUAGGGGCAGAGAGAGAUGGAGACACAGAAUCUGAAGCAGGCUCCAGGCUCUGAGCUGUCAGCACAGAGCCUGAUGCGGGACUUGAACCCAUAAACCAUGAGAUCAUGACCUGAGCUGACAUUGAACUGAGCCGCCCGGACACCCCUGGGAGACACCUUCUGAGGAGGUGACGUUUGUGCUGAGAGCUGUGCCAACAUCUGGGCCGUGUGGGCGUUCAUUUGAGGAGGGCCAGGUGGCUCUGCCCCACACAGUCGUUCAGGGCUGAGCGGACACACAGCGUCGAGGGCGUCCUGGACCUCCAUGUCCAGCCCCUGCACACAGGGAGACUAGAGAAGGCUCCUCUAUUUCUGCCUUGACCCAGGAGCGACCCCCUCCACUUUUGUCCCCAUGCCUCGGCGAGCUGGCCACGUGGCCUCUGGGGCACAAGGCAGGCCCAGAGGUCAAGUCCCUGGGCUGCUGCAGCGUCAUGUUGUGGACGGGGAGCAUGAUUCUUGGGCGGCCUGCCCCAGAGCAGGGGGGACGCGAUGGCUGGCAGCGGGCAGGGUGGCUGGCAGGAAGCUCACACGACACCGUCUGAGAAGGGGCCACCCUGAGGAGGGGACAUCGGAGGAGACCCUGCAUGAAUCGAGUCACCGUAGAAAUAGGUUGCAAGGCCGGAGAGAGGAGGUGGGCCAUCGGGGCUCCUCCGGACCGGAAGUGUUGGGGUUUGCUCCAGCGGCUGGCUGUCAGGAAGGACGCCGGACGCUGUGCUGGCCACUGGCUGGGCCUCGCUGCUUGUUCUCCAUCUCCAGGUAGAACGUAAGUUCCGGGAGAUGAGGACCUGAAUGUCGUCCCCCCGCCCGGCACACAAAAGAAACCCAAAUGUUUUUGUUGAAACGAAUGACAGAUGGAUGCUUCCAUGAUAAACUCUUUUACUGUCAUUUUCCAAACGUGAAACAGGCCAUGGUAUGAUUUUUGACACGUCGCACACCCUCUCCCGGCCUGGCUCCUGUCAUCUCAAACACCCGCUGUGAUGUCACAAUGGCUCCCCGAUCUGUGCUGUCACAAUGGCCACCCACCUGCCUUGAUCAAGGGCAGAGUCACCAGGGAGGUGAGGGCAGGCGUGGGGGGUAUCACACCCCCGGCUGCCUCAGGGGAGGGUGGAGCCAGGCAAUUCCGGGGACAUUCGGGGUGAUUUGGCAGUGAGGGGACUCCUUGGCAAUGUGCCCCUGCACUUCCAGUCCUGCAGCCGCGAUCUGUCCUGCAGAAGUGCUCACACGGGCAUCGAGGGUGUGGGUUGCAGGGAGAAAUGGCAAUAGCUUAAAAUGGCCAGUGAGUUGCUACAUCCGGGUUGCAGAGCGGCUCACGGCCAUUCAGAAGAGCACUGUAGGGUGAGCUUGACGCAGAAGGAAGUCCAGGGGGUAUGGACAACGACCCCAUUACUGGAAUGUGGGGCGUCAUCUCCUGUCCCCAGGAAAUUAUAAAAUAAGUGUUCGCACAGGGGUAGGGAAUGGUCCAGAAUAUAAUCCAUUGACUUAGCCGUGGGGGGUGGAAUUAUGUAAGUUUCACUUUCUAGUUUAUCUGUUUUUUUCUGUAUUGUGUAGACUUUUUGAACCCAAGGGCAUUGCUGAAGGUUGAGUCAUUUCCAUGAUCAGAACAAAUAAUGAGAAAUAGCCGCUUCCAUAUUAUUGAGCAGUUGUUACGAUCCCAUUUAGCUGUGAGGUUAUUUAUCUGUUUUCUUUAACCAACUUUUUCUGUUGGGAGAAGUUGGAACGUCACUCUCACCCAGGUUUCCCCACCGUUGGCAAUUUAUUUUAUCAUUAAAAAAAUUUUUUUAAUUGUAUUAUUGUUUUUUAAGGUUUAUUUUUGAGAGAGAGAGACAGAGUGUGUGCAGGGGAGGGACAGAGAGGAGAGAGGGAGACAAAGAAUCAGAAUCAGGCUCCAGGCUCUGAGCUGACAGCUCAGAUUGGGGAUUGAACUUGUGAACCACUGGAUCACGACCUGAGCCGAAGUUGGACGCUUAACCAACUGAGCCCCCCAGGCGCCCCUGGGAUCUUUCCCUAUAAGGACACUAAUCCCAUUUGUGGGAUUUCUUCCCUCAUGACCUCGUCACCUGCCAAAGACCCCCCCCCCACUCCUACCAACAUCACUUUGGGGGUAGGUUAAUUGGGAUGGGGCGCACAGACAAUCUAUUACAAAUAAAGCUAC